UGGGGAAUUUUGGACAAUGGGCGAAAGCCUGAUCCAGCAAUGCCGCGUGUGUGAAGAAGGCCUUCGGGUUGUAAAGCACUUUUGUCCGGAAAGAAAUCCUUGGCUCUAAUACAGUCGGGGGAUGACGGUACCGGAAGAAUAAGCACCGGCUAACUACGUGCCAGCAGCCGCGGUAAUACGUAGGGUGCAAGCGUUAAUCGGAAUUACUGGGCGUAAAGCGUGCGCAGGCGGUUUGCUAAGACCGAUGUGAAAUCCCCGGGCUCAACCUGGGAACUGCAUUGGUGACUGGCAGGCUAGAGUAUGGCAGAGGGGGGUAGAAUUCCACGUGUAGCAGUGAAAUGCGUAGAGAUGUGGAGGAAUACCGAUGGCGAAGGCAGCCCCCUGGGCCAAUACUGACGCUCAUGCACGAAAGCGUGGGGAGCAAACAGGAUUAGAUACCCUGGUAGUCCACGCCCUAAACAAUGUCAACUAGUUGUUGGGGAUUCAUUUCCUUAGUAACGUAGCUAACGCGUGAAGUUGACCGCCUGGGGAGUACGGUCGCAAGAUUAAAACUUAAAGGAAUUGACGGGGUCAUAGC
Molecule: ribosomal RNA, 577 nt
Filed under: uncultured bacterium
Lineage: Bacteria
Description: partial 16S ribosomal RNA
Rfam family: Bacterial small subunit ribosomal RNA
Source: RNAcentral